AUUGAACGCUGGCGGCAGGCCUAACACAUGCGAGUCGAGCGGAUGAAGGGAGCUUGCUCCUGGAUUCAGCGGCGGACGGGUGAGUAAUGCCUAGGAAUCUGCCUGGUAGUGGGGGAUAACGUCCGGAAACGGGCGCUAAUACCGCAUACGUCCUGAGGGAGAAAGUGGGGGAUCUUCGGACCUCACGCUAUCAGAUGAGCCUAGGUCGGAUUAGCUAGUUGGUGGGGUAAAGGCCUACCAAGGCGACGAUCCGUAACUGGUCUGAGAGGAUGAUCAGUCACACUGGAACUGAGACACGGUCCAGACUCCUACGGGAGGCAGCAGUGGGGAAUAUUGGACAAUGGGCGAAAGCCUGAUCCAGCCAUGCCGCGUGUGUGAAGAAGGUCUUCGGAUUGUAAAGCACUUUAAGUGGGGAGGAAGGGCAGUAAGUUAAUACCUUGCUGUUUUGACGUUACCAACAGAAUAAGCACCGGCUAACUUCGUG
This 484-nucleotide ribosomal RNA is filed under the name uncultured bacterium. Its description in RNAcentral is "partial 16S ribosomal RNA". It matches the Rfam family "Bacterial small subunit ribosomal RNA", at positions 30 to 507 of the family's 1533-position model. The record is from RNAcentral.